RNAcentral lists this long non-coding RNA (351 nucleotides) under Mytilus galloprovincialis (Mediterranean mussel). Lineage: Eukaryota; Metazoa; Mollusca; Bivalvia; Mytilida; Mytilidae. The record is from RNAcentral.
GUUCUCUGUUACUAAUGGGCAAAGUUCAUUAUAGAUAUAAUUGUAAGAAGCAAAAUCGUUCAGUAAAGUAAGAACUUCAAACACAUCACCAUCACCAAAAUACAAAUUUUGUCAUGAAUCCAUUUGUGUCCUUUGUUUAAUAUGCACAUAGACCAAGGUGAGCGACACAGGCUCUUUAGAGCCUCUAGUUUAUAAUUAAAAGAAAACAGGCAUGUAUAUUUCAAAAAGAAACAAUAAUUUUAUGUGCCACAGUGAUAUGUAACUGUCUAUAAACUAUAACAGUCAACAAACUUUAUAUUAUACGAUUACAAAAUAAUGAGACAACAGCCAAACGGCACAGAUAUAAAACAA